RNAcentral lists this ribosomal RNA (419 nucleotides) under uncultured bacterium. RNAcentral's name for it is "partial 16S ribosomal RNA". It matches the Rfam family "Bacterial small subunit ribosomal RNA", at positions 365 to 775 of the family's 1533-position model. The record is from RNAcentral.
UCCGCAAUGGACGAAAGUCUGACGGAGCAACGCCGCGUGAGUGAUGAAGGUUUUCGGAUCGUNAAGCUCUGUUGUUAGGGAAGAANNCGNNNCNUUCAAAUAGGGCGGCACCUUGACGGUACCUAACCAGNNNGNCNCGGCUAACUACGUGCCAGCAGCCGCGGUAAUACGUAGGUGGCAAGCGUUGUCCGGAAUUAUUGGGCGUAAAGGGCUCGCAGGCGGUUUCUUAAGUCUGAUGUGAAAGCCCCCGGCUCAACCGGGGAGGGUCAUUGGAAACUGGGGAACUUGAGUGCAGAAGAGGAGAGUGGAAUUCCACGUGUAGCGGUGAAAUGCGUAGAGAUGUGGAGGAACACCAGUGGCGAAGGCGACUCUCUGGUCUGUAACUGACGCUGAGGAGCGAAAGCGUGGGGAGCGAACAG